UGAAACGUUCCAGAUCACUGCAGUCCUUGAGCUGGAGUUCACAAACUCUAUGCCCGCACAGUUCGCUUACGAUCUACCCUGGCGGCUAUUGUUGGUAGGCCCUGAUACGCGGCUGGAGCGAGGCUACACCAUGGAAGAUUUUGUGGCUCAGUAUACACCUAGAUUGAAACAGUUUCUAUACGCCCUUGAGCAGAUAGAAGCUGAGAAGUGUAGGACAAAGUCCAAUGUGCAGCGCAUUUCCAAGUUAAUGCGCAACUCUUGGACGAGCGGAGAGUUCUGGUUCAAUUCCGCAGCUAGAAAGAGCUUGGAUGUGGAUGCCAUCUUCUAUCACCAGUUAGACAUGAUUUGUUAUGGGGGUAAACUUAAUGUCUACUUGCUUGACGGCAAGGUACGAGGAGGCUUAGAGUCAUUUACGGAUGAAGAUGG
Molecule: small RNA, 426 nt
Filed under: Histoplasma ohiense
Lineage: Eukaryota; Fungi; Ascomycota; Eurotiomycetes; Onygenales; Ajellomycetaceae
Description: hypothetical lncRNA
Source: RNAcentral